AGGCAUCCUUCAGAGAGGCUGAGGACAAACACACUGACAAGCAGCCUCCAGUGGUCAGCUCCCAACCUCCUGACGACCUGACCUCAGCACCGUGGCAGGAGAUGAUGAAUGACCUUGACCUGCGACCCCAUGACCCCGCUGGACCUCUAGGAGUGUACAACGUGCGGUGGGCGGUGCGGAGGGCGGGGCUGCGGGUGGGCGGGUGCGGCGGGUCCCCUUCCUGGCGGUGAGGGUGAAGAGUGUGGAAACGAGAGAGUCUUGCCCUACAGUGGUGCUCAGGGAUUGGACGGGUGAGAUCCCAGCAACAGUCACCCCUGCAGUUUUAGAAGAGUUUGGCCACACUCUCACACCAGGCGCCGUUCUCGUACUUCGCGGCGUGACCCUGCUUUCCCCGGGGGCCAGAAGCGACCGGGGGGGGCUGAGGGGGCAGCGGCACUACCUGAACAUCACCCCAGCUACUAUCAUCGCCAUCUACACCCCUGACGAGGACGGGAAUGUGACGAAAACGAAGCUACAGUCAUUCCGUCGUUCAGAAGUCGAGCUGGGGAGUGUGGAUGUGUGUGUCCUCAGUGCUGUUAUAGAGGAGGUGGAGGACAGUGCUGGGGUGGCAGGGGUGUCACAGGGGAUGUCCAGGGGUGGAGGGGCAGUCUCUUCUCUCACACUGGGGGAAAUCUGAGUGUGUCAUCACCUAUGUCAUUUUCUAAGAGUGUUUCUGGGUCAGGGGUGCAUAGGGG
Long non-coding RNA from Portunus trituberculatus (swimming crab), 734 nucleotides. RefSeq lists it as uncharacterized. The record is from RefSeq and is a predicted model, not a curated record. The transcript has 3 exons. Lineage: Eukaryota; Metazoa; Arthropoda; Malacostraca; Decapoda; Portunidae.